This 274-nucleotide ribosomal RNA is filed under the name uncultured bacterium. RNAcentral describes it as "partial 16S ribosomal RNA". It matches the Rfam family "Bacterial small subunit ribosomal RNA", at positions 523 to 796 of the family's 1533-position model. The record is from RNAcentral.
AUACGGAGGGUGCAAGCGUUAUUCGGAAUCACUGGGCGUAAAGGACGCGUAGGCGGGUUGGCAAGUCAGAUGUGAAAUCCUACAGCUUAACUGUAGAACUGCAUUUGAAACUGCUAACCUAGAGUAUGGGAGGGGGAGAUGGAAUUAGUGGUGUAGGGGUAAAAUCCGUAGAUAUCACUAGGAAUACCGAAAGCGAAGGCGAUCUCCUGGAACAUAACUGACGCUAAGGCGUGAAAGCGUGGGGAGCAAACAGGAUUAGAAACCCUCGUAGUCC